CUCGAGGACGACGCUGGCGGCAUGCCUAACACAUGCAAGUCGAACGGGGGUAGCAAUACCCUAGUGGCGAACGGGUGAGUAACACAUAAGCAAUCUGCCCUUCACAGGGGGAUAACAGCGGGAAACUGCUGCUAAUACCGCAUAAGACCACGGUACCGCAUGGUACAGGGGUAAAAACGAAUCAGUGGUGAAGGAUGAGCUUAUGUCCCAUUAGCUAGUUGGUGAGAUAACAGCCCACCAAGGCGACGAUGGGUAGCCGACCUGGGAGGGUGAUCGGCCACACUGGAACUGAGACACGGUCCAGACUCCUACGGGAGGCAGCAGUGGGGAAUAUUGGGCAAUGGAGGAAACUCUUUAACCCCCAGCAAUGCCGCGUGAGUGAAGAAGGUCUUCGGAUUGUAAAGCUCUCUGAUUGGGGACGAAGAAAGUGACGGUACCCAAAGAACAAGCCCCGGCUAACUACGUGCCAGCAGCAGC
Molecule: ribosomal RNA, 477 nt
Filed under: uncultured bacterium
Lineage: Bacteria
Description: bacterial SSU rRNA
Rfam family: Bacterial small subunit ribosomal RNA
Source: RNAcentral